GGUAAGUGAUUGGUGGUGUUGGAGCUGAGCCUAGCCUGUAGUUAACAAGUCCAUAAAUAUGAGCAUCAGAUAAAGAGGUGUGCACCAUUGCUGACUGAAGAUGAGCUCGUUUCGCAUGUUGGCGUUCCCUUUUGUGAGCGUUUUGGUGACCACCUAAAGCUUGGGAGGUGGGGAAGUUUCUGCAACAAUAAUGGCACUCAAACCUUCUGCUAUUAUCACCAUUGUUCUCGUUCUCCUUGGUGGUAUCUUCGUUGUUCUCGGCUGAGUCGGACUCGUUGCUGGGCGUAGCUGGGUCAACACCACCGAAUUCCUUGCC
RNAcentral lists this long non-coding RNA (316 nucleotides) under Gossypium barbadense (sea-island cotton). RNAcentral describes it as "long non-coding RNA (GBAR_LNC003057)". Lineage: Eukaryota; Viridiplantae; Streptophyta; Magnoliopsida; Malvales; Malvaceae. The record is from RNAcentral.